Molecule: long non-coding RNA, 150 nt
Organism: Haliotis rubra (blacklip abalone)
Lineage: Eukaryota; Metazoa; Mollusca; Gastropoda; Lepetellida; Haliotidae
Exons: 3
Source: RefSeq, a predicted model, not a curated record
GUUUAUGUUUCAUGUUUGUAUUCUUAUAAGGCUACACAUCUAUGAAACCUCUCUUGAACACAUCCCCUCUUGCAACAAAAAUAAUUUGCUUUGUUUAUUAAUGCCAUGCUCUGCAAUAUUCCAGCUAUAUGGCGGCGGUCUGUAAAUAAU